Molecule: long non-coding RNA, 4526 nt
Filed under: Solanum tuberosum (potato)
Lineage: Eukaryota; Viridiplantae; Streptophyta; Magnoliopsida; Solanales; Solanaceae
Description: long non-coding RNA (STUB_LNC009830)
Source: RNAcentral
GUUGUAUAUACUCGUGAACAAGUUGAGGACCUUGAUACAUUGGUUGGGCUGUUUCUUGGCUAACGCACGGAGGUUUGUGUAUAAACUUGUACCUGCACUAUUUGAACUGCUGGUAUAUUUGAAGGUUCAUAUUGGUAGAUUUGGUUACCUCUUGUCACUUUGCAUUGUUGUGUUGGUAUCCUUUGAGACGUUAACGACACUUGUGUAACUCGCCCACUUGUAUGGAUUGUUUGAUCACCUAGCACUCUUGUUUGGACCUUGUCCUUCUUGUGGAUGUGACUUUGUCACUCUUGGCAUGCCUCUUGAUUCGGAUCAAUUGCCAUCUUGACUUUGGAUUUUUAGUUCGUCUUAAGUAUGGAAGUUGUCCAUUUUAAGUACGAAUUAGAAAGCCAUUUUUAAUAUGGUUCUUGGUUCUCUUGAUUAUUGGGCUUUGACCCUUCUUGAUACAGGGCGUCGACCCUUCUUGAUACUUGCUUGUGCUUGGUGUGAAGACAUGAUGUACAUAUUGGGCGAGCCUUGUUAUUGAAUCUCUUGGAAAAUGAUGCUAUGAGCGUUCUUGACAUUUGGACCUCUAAAUAUCGAAUUUGAUACUCUUGAUAUAUUAUUUACUUGAUUUAUUUAUUAUGUUCGAGUAUGUUGCCCAUGACUUGAGAAAGUUUGCUUGUGAAUUGGAUGGCUCCGAAACUACAGUUUUACACCACUAAGCUAUAUGCUUAGCGAUAGUUGUUUCUAUCGUAGGGAAUGGUCGAGAGGAGGCGUGAAGAAGGCCUUUGAAGAUGGAAAUUUUGAGAGCUUUAAGGAAGAUCACAUUUGCAUUUAGGCAUCUAUAUUUUGUAUAAACCUUGGGACUUGUACAUGAUCUUUUUGUUGUAUAUUUACAUGAAAUUUCGAUGACUAAUGUGAUCAUGUCACCAUGGGUUGUAAAUUAAGUAUGGCAAUAUGUUUUGUUCUUUUGGGGUGUGUAAGCCCAAGUAUUGCAAUAUACUAAAUUUAAUAUUUGCUUUGAAUAUUUGUGUGAAGCAUGAACGGGCUAAUUUCGGUACUUCGAAAUGGGUAAUAUUCAUAUUAUUUCAUCCUUAAGUGUGAAGAUAAUAUAUGCAUGAAAAGCUCAUCGGCUAUUUGCUUAAAUUAUUUUUGGGACGGUUUUUCCGUCAUAAGUUGAAACACCGUGCCAUAUCAAUUUUGACAUCACAUGAAUGUUUAAAUGUACAAGAUGCACAUCCUUAUCUAAAAUUUUUUCCUUUAUGAACCUAAUCCCUCUAUUAGACUACAAUCAAUAUGGCCAUAGUAAGUCUCUUUUAAUUGUCGCAAGUAUUUAAGUAGUUUUCUUGCUUAGGUGGUCGUAUCCUUUCGAAAGGGGUCGUUACACUUGAAGUCCUGGCGCGUCGCGUCCUGCAGCGCACCCAAAACAUGUCCCAGUCCGGCAUCCUCUGGCGCGUCGCACCCUAAACAUGCCCCAGUCUGGCAUUCUCUGGCGCGUCAUGCCUCUCAGCGCGCCCAACACUGCUGAUUUUUCCUUAGUCGUUUUCUUGCUCAUUUUUUCUCCUUCUUUCUUCGCUCCAACUCCAAUUUCAUCGAGAGUUCCUGAAACAUCUAAUCAUAUGUGUGAGUACAUAAUCAUCACAAGUUACACCAAAAAUCAAGCUAACAAUUAAAGAUCAUUCUUCAAUUUAAUCAAUUCAUGGGCAAUAUUGACAACUUAGGCAUCAGGAUUGACUUUUGCCUGCUACCUAUUUGAUUGGAUGUUUGUUUGAAAUCUUGUUCUCCACCCCAUCUCCAUAUGAAUGAAAAGUUAUAUUUUGCCCUUGAUGUUAGGCUCCUGGGCAAUAAAAUAUUUUUUGUUUAGAGCCAAUAGAGUGAAAUUUGUUGGAUAAACAGUUACAAUUUGAAAGAGUAAGUAAUGGAAUAAAUUUAUUAUAAGAGAUAGAUGAAAAAAAAAGGAAUAAUGAGUAUUUGAAAGUGAAAUGAAGUAUCAAAAAGGUGUUUCCAUGAGGUGGGAAUUUUUGGCCUAUUUGAUUUACUUUGUACUUAUCUUUAUAUAUAUAUAUGUGUAAAUUUCAAUGUUUUGUAAUUUGUGUGGAGCAUUGUAUUGUGUUUGGCAUCUACUCUAUUUUCUCAAACAGCCAGCAGUCUUGAGGAAUUAUUCUUGCUACCUUAUGAGGGCCGGUGAAGGGAUAUCCUUAGAAUGGUAUGUUUUAACCCAAAUACAUAUUAAGAAUCUAGUGUCAGCGAGGAACUUGGAGCUUUUUAUUCAAUCUUAUUGUCAUCCUUAUUUUUGGACUACCAGACUACCACAAUUCUUAUUAAGAAUGUUGAUUAGGGCUUUGCUCAUUGUACUGCAAUUAAAAACACAUUUUUUUGUCUUAUAAGUAGUUUAUUGUUAAUACACAUUACUGGAGUGAUAACCUAUUCUAAGGUACUUAAGAUUCAAGAUGGUCUUCUCUUAGCUGCUGACAUUGGAGGUUAGCUUCUAUAUCAUAGAUUUGGUCCCAAUUAGUGCUCCUCUGUUUUUCUCUCUCAAGAAAGUAUAUGUUACAUGGUUUCUUGACCAGAAAAAAAGGAUAGAGCAUUGAAAGACCCUCCUAAAGAAAUUCUCUUAUGACAUUUUAAUAUCAUCAGUUGUUAAAUGCUCUCUCUGUCCCAAAAUAGUAUUAAAUUGGAUUAAAUUUUUUUAAAAUAAAAAUUUAGAUAUUGAAAAACUAUAUAGGAAGUACUACAAGUUGUAAUUGUUUUCAUAUUAAUAUGGUGAAAGAGUUCACAUUAAAAUGUUGGUCAAAGUUCAUAUAGUUUGACUCUCAAAAGAAAAAUGUGACAAGUAUUUGGGGACAGAGAAAGUAAUAACUAAUUUACUCAUGGCAAGAAGUUGUAGUAGUGCAACGUUGGAAGGAAAGAGUUCUUUUUCCAAAUUCUGAAAUUUGGAUUUAAUAAUGGCUGAAAAUGUUACCUCCAUAAACAUGUUAUUUAGAAUAUGGAGAAUGGACAAGUGUUCUACUAGUGCAUGAUAUUUGUUUUUCCAAAUUGAUCUUAUACUUGUUGGCAGUAUAUGUUCUUUCCAGUGUGCCUCCGAAGGUUCUAAAAUUCUUUAUGUUGUUCUAGUCCAUGUCAGAACAUAUGACUAUGAGAGAGUAAUUUGCGAAAACCCUUUUGGGGCUUCUAGUAGACAUUAUUCGCGUUCUAUUUCAUCUCACCUUUCUUCUUCUAAUAUCUUAUUUUUUCCUUUGUUUUUUCUUGUUUCAAUUAAUAGGGGGGCAUAUAUUACAUUAUGUCAUUAAGUGAGUGUUGUUUAGUAACUCUUGACAGCCAAAUUAAUUUCUUUUACUAGUGAAGUACUUUCCCCAACUAAUAUUUGAGUUUGGCUCAUUGUGCUUCCCUUUAAUGAUAUCGUUGCAAGUUUUGUUUAUUGCAUUUGGGUAUUAUUGUAGAGUUGGGGAAUUUGUAUGAUAACCCCAACUAAUUUGCGAGUAAGACAUAGUUGAUUGAUAUCAUAACUUGCACUUUACACUGUAAAUAGCUAUAUCUACUAACUAUGCAAAUAUUCGGCACAAUGUUUUUUUUAUAUAUGAGCUGAUGCUUUAUUGAAUCUACACUAUUUUUUCUUAUUAAGUGUUAUGUUUGCUUCAUUUUUCUUCCUCUAUUUUUACUUGAAUUUGAUGCACUUGAGCCUAGGGUCUUUCGAAAAUAGACUCUCUACCUCCACGAGGUAUUGGUAAAAUUUGUGUACACUCUACCCUCUCUAGACCUCAGUCAAUGGGUUUCACUAGGUAUGUUGUUGUUGCUAGGUGAUAUUUGAUGUUCUUGAAAAAAUAUUGACCAAAAACCCCUUGCGAGCGAAAGCAAGGGGUUUGCCUUCUGGGUCGAGCUCGUCGCACCAGGCUUGCCUAGUGCGGGUUACCUCUCCUAUGUGGUUUGCGAGCUAUUGCAUAGGAGCGGGGGUUUACCCUGUGCGCACCCAAAGGGUAGCGGCUGCGGGUUUCCCUUGUCAUCAAAAAAAAAAAACUCCAGGCCACUAUUGCAGAACUUGGAGUGCAGGAUCUAGUUAGCCUGGGUAAUUUACAUGUUCUUUUUUCUUUACUGAAUAUAAAAUCUUUUCAUAAAUUAAUUAAAGUUGAGGCACAAGCAUAUAUGGGAUAUAAUUGAAUACAGUUCAAGAAAAAAAUAUUUGUGUAUUAAACGUUUUUCGCAUUUAUGAUGGUAUUCUGAAUUAUUUUUUUUCUUUUUUAAGAUGCAGAUUCUAUUGAAACCAAGAAAGCUCAUGGAAAGAAAGAAAGGUCUUGCGAAAUGAAGUAGUCUAUGGAAAAAAUUAUAUGAGACAUGCAAUUGGUAAAGGGAGGUGUGUAAAUGCAGUUUCAUCAACAAAUCUAUAAAGUUGGGAAUAACAUCUCAAAGUUCUGAUUCGAUCAAAACAAGUGAAGCUCAUAAAAUAGGAGAAAGACAUAGUGGUUAAAUUACAUUGUAUCAUAUUGUUUAACAUACUCACAUCUUUGUAAUAAAUUGACUACAAUUGUGACAGAACAUUUGUAUUAGAA